Molecule: ribosomal RNA, 505 nt
Filed under: uncultured bacterium
Lineage: Bacteria
Description: partial 16S ribosomal RNA
Rfam family: Bacterial small subunit ribosomal RNA
Source: RNAcentral
GACGAACGCUGGCGGCGUGCCUAAUACAUGCAAGUAGAACGCACAGUUUAUACCGUAGCUUGCUACACCAUAGACUGUGAGUUGCGAACGGGUGAGUAACGCGUAGGUAACCUGCCUGGUAGCGGGGGAUAACUAUUGGAAACGAUAGCUAAUACCGCAUAAUAUUGAUUAUUGCAUGAUAAUUAAUUGAAAGGUGCAAUUGCACCACUACCAGAUGGACCUGCGUUGUAUUAGCUAGUAGGUGAGGUAACGGCUCACCUAGGCGACGAUACAUAGCCGACCUGAGAGGGGGAUCGGCCACACUGGGACUGAGACACGGCCCAGACUCCUACGGGAGGCAGCAGUAGGGAAUCUUCGGCAAUGGACGAAAGUCUGACCGAGCAACGCCGCGUGAGUGAAGAAGGUUUUCGGAUCGUAAAGCUCUGUUGUAAGAGAAGAACGGGUGUGAGAGUGGAAAGUUCACACUGUGACGGUAUCUUACCAGAAAGGGACGGCUAACUACGUG